ACGCCUGUAGCUCAGUGGAUUAGAGCGUCGGCCUCCGGAGCCGUGUGCGCAGGUUCGAUUCCUGUCAGGCGUACCA
Molecule: transfer RNA, 76 nt
Filed under: Phascolarctobacterium sp.
Lineage: Bacteria; Bacillati; Bacillota; Negativicutes; Acidaminococcales; Acidaminococcaceae
Also listed under: 1 other name
Description: tRNA-Arg
Rfam family: tRNA
About the family: Transfer RNA (tRNA) molecules are approximately 80 nucleotides in length. Their secondary structure includes four short double-helical elements and three loops (D, anti-codon, and T loops).
Source: RNAcentral